RNAcentral lists this ribosomal RNA (1005 nucleotides) under Proteocephalus percae. RNAcentral's name for it is "eukaryotic LSU rRNA". It matches the Rfam family "Eukaryotic large subunit ribosomal RNA", at positions 44 to 639 of the family's 3401-position model. Lineage: Eukaryota; Metazoa; Platyhelminthes; Cestoda; Proteocephalidea; Proteocephalidae. The record is from RNAcentral.
CACUAAGCGGAGGAAAAGAAACUAACCAGGAUUCCCCUAGUAACGGCGAGUGAAGAGGGAAAAGCCCAGCACCGAAGCCUGCGGCAGUUUUGCUGUUAGGCAAUGUGGUGUUUGGGUCGGCUCGUGGGAUUGCCACUCCACUCCAAGUCCAGCAUUGAGUAUGGUUUACUGGAUUUGGCCCAGAGAGGGUGAAAGGCCCGUAGGGGUGGAGUAUCAGAAAUGUAAGGCAGUUCACCAGGUCGACCUUAGAGUCGGGUUGUUUGGGAAUGCAGCCCAAAGCGGGUGGUAAACUCCAUCCAAGGCUAAAUACAAGCACGAGUCCGAUAGCGAACAAGUACCGUGAGGGAAAGUUGAAAAGUACUCUGAAGAGAGAGUAAACAGUACGUGAAACCGCAUGCAGGUAAACGGGUGGCGUCAAGCUGCAGGCCCAGAGGAUUCAGUCGACUAGGUUGUAGUGUAUGUGCCUGGCGCAUCCAUCAGUCAGAGUGUGAUUGAGUAGUCCAUGGGUAAACCGUGGGCCUGGCCGCAAGGUCGGGAUGUGUGUACCGGAUGGGUGCCGGAGCAUGCUACUCGUCUGUGGACUGUCUAGUCGGUGCACUUUCUCUGUGGUCAACACCACGACCGGUGGUAUUGCCAGUCUGCUGUGCUCAAGUUGUGCUCGGUUGGUCCUUGUGGCUAGCUGGGUGCGAUCACAGGCAAAUUCAGUGAACGGCGCGGGGGUGCUUCGGUAUCUUCGCGUGUUAUCGGCCACUGGUUGUCAACAGGCCUGCCCGGUGUUUGUUGUAACCGGCAUUGGGUGGUCUGGUGGAGCAUGGUGGUAAGAAUAACUGUGCAAGGCACCGGAGUUGUCGGCCUCAAAUGCGUCCCGCACACACGUUACAAGUGGUGAUUAGUGGCGGUGUCGUGGCCAUCUGCCUGGUGUUGGGUGUGAUUGGCGUGUUGCCCGCGAAAAGCGGGCCCGCCAGUGGCUCGAUUCAGGAUGGGUGGUUUGCGGCGCUGUCGGUG